AUCGCUUCUUGGCCUUUUGGCUAAGAUCAAGUGUAGUAUCUAAAUAUUAAAAUAGAAACUCUAA
Molecule: small nuclear RNA, 64 nt
Filed under: Fukomys damarensis (Damara mole-rat)
Lineage: Eukaryota; Metazoa; Chordata; Mammalia; Rodentia; Bathyergidae
Description: U2 spliceosomal RNA
Rfam family: U2 spliceosomal RNA
About the family: U2 is a small nuclear RNA (snRNA) component of the spliceosome (involved in pre-mRNA splicing). Complementary binding between U2 snRNA (in an area lying towards the 5' end but 3' to hairpin I) and the branchpoint sequence (BPS) of the intron results the bulging out of an unpaired adenosine, on the BPS, which initiates a nucleophilic attack at the intronic 5' splice site, thus starting the first of two transesterification reactions that mediate splicing.
Source: Rfam by way of RNAcentral